AUUGAACGCUGGCGGAAUGCUUUACACAUGCAAGUCGAACGGCAGCACGGACUUCGGUCUGGUGGCGAGUGGCGAACGGGUGAGUAAUGUAUCGGAACGUGCCCAGUCGUGGGGGAUAACGUAGUGAAAAUUACGCUAAUACCGCAUACGAUCUAUGGAUGAAAGCGGGGGAUCGCAAGACCUCGCGCGAUUGGAGCGGCCGAUAUCAGAUUAGGUAGUUGGUGGGGUAAAGGCCCACCAAGCCAACGAUCUGUAGCUGGUCUGAGAGGACGACCAGCCACCCGGGAACUGGGACACGGUCCAGACUCCUACGGGGGGCAGCAGUGGGGAAUUUUGGAAAAUGGGCGAAAGCCUGAUCCAGCCAUUCCGCGUGCAGGAUGAAGGCCCUCGGGUUGUAAACUGCUUUUGUACAGAACGAAAAGGUUUCUACUAAUACUAGGAGCUCAUGACGGUACUGUAAGAAUAAGUACCGGCUAACUACGUGCCAGCCGCCGCCGUAA
Molecule: ribosomal RNA, 500 nt
Filed under: uncultured bacterium
Lineage: Bacteria
Description: partial 16S ribosomal RNA
Rfam family: Bacterial small subunit ribosomal RNA
Source: RNAcentral